Molecule: ribosomal RNA, 490 nt
Filed under: uncultured bacterium
Lineage: Bacteria
Description: partial 16S ribosomal RNA
Rfam family: Bacterial small subunit ribosomal RNA
Source: RNAcentral
GAUGAACGCCAGCUACAGGCUUAACACAUGCAAGUCGCGGGGCAGCAUGGGGGUUGCUUGCAAUCCCCGAUGGCGACCGGCGCACGGGUGAGUAACGCGUAUCCAACCUGCCCUUCACCACGGGAUAACCCGGCGAAAGUCGGACUAAUACCGUAUGUUGUCCAUUGACGGCAUCCGAUUUGGACGAAAGGUUUGGCGGUGAAGGAUGGGGAUGCGUCCGAUUAGCUGGACGGCGGGGUGACGGCCCACCGUGGCGACGAUCGGUAGGGGUUCUGAGAGGAAGGUCCCCCACACUGGAACUGAGACACGGUCCAGACUCCUACGGGAGGCAGCAGUGAGGAAUAUUGGUCAAUGGGCGUAAGCCUGAACCAGCCAAGUAGCGUGCAGGAUGACGGCCCUAUGGGUUGUAAACUGCUUUUAUGCGGGGAUAAAGUGGCCCACGUGUGGGUUUUUGCAGGUACCGCAUGAAUAAGGACCGGCUAAUUCCGUG